Molecule: long non-coding RNA, 219 nt
Filed under: Manihot esculenta (cassava)
Lineage: Eukaryota; Viridiplantae; Streptophyta; Magnoliopsida; Malpighiales; Euphorbiaceae
Description: long non-coding RNA (MESC_LNC012949)
Source: RNAcentral
CUACCUGAAGCUGCUGCACUGAAAGAAGAAGAGCCUGGGGUCUUGGAACCAGAAGGCUGUGCCACUGACUGCUUAACUGCUCCCUGAACGAUGGCACUGGCCUCCAUUUUCCGGGCCAUAUCCACUAUGGCGUGGAAGCUCUCCCUAUCUGCUGACUGGAUCAAGGAGGAAUAUCUGGAGUGGAGUUUCAUGAUAUACCUCCUUGACCUUUUCUGGUCU